Pelobates cultripes (western spadefoot toad) is the source of this 110-nucleotide non-coding RNA. The record is from the annotation of a GenBank genome assembly. Lineage: Eukaryota; Metazoa; Chordata; Amphibia; Anura; Pelobatidae.
AGGACCACUAUAGUCACCCAGACCACUUCAUUAAGACCCCUUAAAGGACCACUAUAGUCACCCAGACCACUUCAUCUUAAUGAAGUGGUCUGGGUGACUAUAGUGGUCCU